CUUUUUCCUUUGAAACUAAAAUGGCUUACUUUAAGAAGCUUAUCUUAUUAAACAUGGUUAUGAUAUUUGUGCUACUCUUAUCAAUGAAUCUGGCUGCAGCAAGGUUGCCCUUUUGGAUGUCCGAAUCUCAUCAGAAACCAUAUGGACGCAUCCUUGAGGCAUCAUAUGAUCCAGAAGGCCAUAAUUAUUAUGGUCAUCCAUGAGAAGUCAGAGAUUACAAUAUUGGGUUUUUCAAGGAAAACUUUGCAGUGCAGAAGCAUAUAGAGGAGAUGAUCCACAAGACAGAGAGUACAGCAUUGGGUUUGAAGGAAAACUUUGCAGAGCAGAAGCAUAUAUAUUUAUUACUGUUUAUAUACGUAUUGUAAAUAAUUGAUUAUAGUACUGCACUGGGAACUUCUUGAUGUACCUUUUUCCAGCUAUAUUAUAAGAAUACCGAGGUUAAUAAAGGUUAAAAA
This is a long non-coding RNA of Vigna radiata var. radiata (mung bean), 455 nucleotides long. RefSeq lists it as uncharacterized. The transcript has 2 exons. Lineage: Eukaryota; Viridiplantae; Streptophyta; Magnoliopsida; Fabales; Fabaceae. The record is from RefSeq and is a predicted model, not a curated record.